UCUGUCUAUAAAGUCGUGACAUGAAUGUUUGAGGAACUAACAUUAUUCAUGUGUCUGGCAACACCAAAGAUCACCAAACAUAUGUACAUCAGCUGUCAUCGAGAACAAGUUGUGGAACGAUUUUCAUUUUGUGGUUUUUAUUGUUUGACUAAUCUCCUGUAAAUUAUUACUCAGCUACGAAGAAAAGUAUAAACAAUGAGUAAAGUAAAUUGGAGUGCCACGCGGAAAGUGAUUUUUAAAGUUUUCCAGCAAUGUUCCGCGGAGUACCAAGCUGGUCAAAUUUUGUGGGAUUUUGAUGUUUUUUAUGGGCGAACAGCAUCUUUGACGGGAAAAUCAGAGAGUACAGUUAAGCGCAUAGUCAAUGAAGGUUUUCAGAAUAAUGGAAAAUUUAGAACUCCUGGGAAACACAGGCAAGGCCGACCAAAGAAAGAAAUGGAUAAUUUUAAUAUUUGUGCUCUGCGCCAAAAAAUAUAAUUUUUUACACGGUACAAAAAGAGGUCACAAAAUGUUCGCAAUCUCUAAACAUCAAAGGCAUCACAAAAGACAUUUUCAAAGGAAAGCGUUAUAUCAUAGUCCAUGCUGGAAGCGAAAAGGGGUUUGUGCCAAACUGCCUCCUCAUAUUCACUGGCAGAAAUAAUUUGGAAGACUACCAUUCAGAAAUGAAUGCGCAUAACUUCACGAAGUGGAUUAAAGAAAAACUAAUACCAAAUCUUCAUGAGCCUUCCAUUAUAUUUAUGGACCUGUACCAAGACAAUUGGUUAUUUGCUUAGGCGAUAAUAACAGCAGCGAAGAUGAUGAUGUGAAUGAUGACAGCGCUGCUUAUGAAAGUGGCAACGAAACUUUUCUUAACAUCGAAAAUUUGGAAUCCGAUGAUGAAAGUGAUUAAUAAAUGUCCUUAUUAACUAUGUAUAA
Ostrinia nubilalis (European corn borer) is the source of this 912-nucleotide long non-coding RNA. RefSeq lists it as uncharacterized. The record is from RefSeq and is a predicted model, not a curated record. The transcript is spliced from 3 exons. NCBI's taxonomy places the organism in Eukaryota, Metazoa, Arthropoda, Insecta, Lepidoptera, Crambidae.